GGGGCUGUAGCUUAGUGAUAAAGCACUUGCCUUCCAUGUAUGAGGCACUGGGUUUGGUCCUCAGCACCA
Molecule: transfer RNA, 69 nt
Filed under: Ictidomys tridecemlineatus (thirteen-lined ground squirrel)
Lineage: Eukaryota; Metazoa; Chordata; Mammalia; Rodentia; Sciuridae
Description: Spermophilus tridecemlineatus (thirteen-lined ground squirrel) tRNA
Rfam family: tRNA
About the family: Transfer RNA (tRNA) molecules are approximately 80 nucleotides in length. Their secondary structure includes four short double-helical elements and three loops (D, anti-codon, and T loops).
Source: Rfam by way of RNAcentral